This is a long non-coding RNA of Xiphophorus hellerii (green swordtail), 4883 nucleotides long. RefSeq lists it as uncharacterized. NCBI's taxonomy places the organism in Eukaryota, Metazoa, Chordata, Actinopteri, Cyprinodontiformes, Poeciliidae. The transcript has 2 exons. The record is from RefSeq and is a predicted model, not a curated record.
AUGAGCUGGAAUUUAUUGUGACAACAAUAAAUACAAAUAUUUUCAUAAGAAAUUCAUAAUGACAGAUGAUAAAUGAUGCAAUAAAUGCCUAAUCCGACAACCAAUGAAUGAAAAAUUUAAGUAGAUAUGAAACAGGUCAUGGCAGCGAAGCUUCACUUUUUUCCCCAAAUUGUGAAAUUUGUGACCAUUACAAGAGGGAAGGACUUCCCCGGCUCUUCUUCCCUCUCCAUCUUGUCAUCAUUUACACUUUUUUCCUCAAAUCCUCUGACUAAUUUUUAUAUUUCUUUCCUCAUUCCUCACACACAUACUACCAUUUCCUUUAUUCACGUAAAAACACACAGAAAACAAACAAGCAGCAGAUAUUUCAGUGUGUAAAGCUCACAGUUCACCAGCAUAACUCCUCCAUAACUACUUUUUUUGUGUUGAAUUAACUUAAAAGAUACAAAUUUUAAUUUACAUAAACUUUUUCAUCUUAUUUUAACCUGAAACAAUCAAGUUCAAUGCCGCCUUCGUGUCCUACGUCUGAUGCCAAUCUUCACCAGGGACAGAUCCUGUACUGACCAGGUGCUGUGGUGGUGCAGCGGGUUAAGCACAACUCACUUCAGGAGGCCUUAAUCCUCAACUCGGCCGUCACAGGUUCGAUUCCCGGCCUGGCGACCUUUGCCGCAUAUCGUCCUCCACCUUCCUGUCUAACUAUUCUCAAAUAAAGGCUGCCUGAGUCAAAAAAGAUCCUUUAUUAGUUCUCUAUUUGAAGUAAACUAAAAGAUUUGAGUAAGACUGAUUCAAUUUGUCAAGUUAAACCAACUUAAGUUAAGUUUGAUAAACUUAAUUGAAUUACUUGUUACCAGUUGAAGCAAUUCAAUUAAGGUCGUUCAACUAUUUUCCUUUUUCAGUGCAUGAACCAAUUGACCAAGUUACUUGAGUAACUUUUUGGUAAAAAUGUACUUUUAGAAGGAGUUUUACUACACUGUACUUUUUACUUUUAUUUUACUUGAGUAAAAUGUUUGGAUGCUUUACCCACUGUGAGUAACUUCACUGAGUAAAAUUUCAUUAGUUUCAUGUCGGGUCAAAAACAUAAAUUUUACUCCCAGUCAGAAUAAACAGUUAAUUUAGAAGAAGACAGUCAGGGGUACAGGUAAUUUUAAGCUUGACUGAAUGUGGAAUUAGCUCUAGAUUUGCAAUAUUACUGUUAAUAUUUUAAGGAAGUGAUAAUAACUCCACUGUAAUAAACAUUAGAUCACCACAAGACUUCUGUGCAGAAGAUGAUGUUGUCUCUGUUGGAAACAUUUACAAGGAGACCAACAACUGAGGCAUAUUAAACUGUUUAUGUGUAUCUGCCAGAUUCCUGUCUGCUGAGCAUCAAUCACUUCACAGCCAGCAUGCAGAUCAUCACAGCUCUUUUUCUGGAUUAUUCUGUUAGUUUUACAUCACAUGGACCAGGAUGCAAACCUUCCGAAAAGUACUUUUCUGUUGUCGGUGAAAAGAAAAACUAGCAAACGUUUUUGGGUAUCAUCAAAGUAUAUUUUUUCUUUUGCAAAGGUGAGAUGUUUGGUUGUGUUCUAAGCAGUGGUUUUGGCCUCGAAUUCUCCCAUUUAGGCCAUUAUUUGCCUUUAAUCUCUCGUUCUUAUUGUCAAAUUAAUAUUGAAUUUGAUAAAGUCAAGCAUAGCCAGGAGAGGUGUAGAUGUUUUUCUGUUAUUAUGUGAGAAAGUGUCCUGUUUGCCUGCAGAUCCUGGGUCAUUUCAGCACUGUUCCAUGUUUCCUCCAUUUGUGGAUAAUAGCUUCACUGUGGAUCUUCAUGUUGUGAGAUUCUAUAAUUUCACAUGUCUGAUGAAAUCACUUUAAAAAAAUGCAGUUUAUCAGUUAAUUCCUGUUUCACCAAGGAAGGCAAUAAAGUUUUUCUAUUUUCUAUUUCUCAGAUUGAGUUGUAAUAUUGCUAAUAAUCUAAAACAUGCAAGUGUGAUCAAAGGAAGUACAAGGUUUAUUAAAUAAAUAGAGAAUCACAAAAGCAGCACAAGUGAAACCAAGAAAAUCUCUAUAAACAGGUCAGCAAAGCAUAAAAGUAAAAUACGCUCUGGUGAAAAUGACCUUCAAAACCUCUAAAUGUUCAUGAAUGCAGCUCAGGAAUAUAUGCUUUAGUCUUUGUGUAGUUUACACAGACAAAAGCCAAGGUAGAGAAGCCUAUUUGGAGAGAUAAAAGUGGUGUUAUAGAAAGGGUGAGUAAAAAAACAACAACCCUGGAUCACCUUCAGAACAGCAUCGAAUCUAUUUUAGAAAAGAAUAGCAUUAAAGGGCAGACCAGGAAAAUUCAGCAAGAAGGACAUCAAUAAAAGCGGAAACCAAAGAACUAAAUGUAAACCUGAAGUCUCUGCAAAGUGCACAGCAGCAUAUCUGCUAAAAAGGCCGUGCACUACCCCAGAAAAGCCAACCUUUAUAGAGUUGAGGACAGAGCAGAAAAACCUCAGAAAGCGUGGCUGUAGUUCACAAGACAACAGGGAGAAAGGAAACCUCUGCUUAAGAUCUUGUGAUGAACUUAAACUGUGAAUAUGACUUGUGUUUUGAAUUCUUUUUCUAAAUUUGUGUGCAUGCAGCUACGAACCCUGAAUUCAAAAUAAUCCCCUCAAUAAGCUCACAAAAAAUCCCCCAUAUACUCUAGAAAUAUAUUUUUGCAGCUUCUUUGUUGUCAUGUUUUAUUUGGUGCUUUUGACUGUUUUCCUUUUGAAAACAUGACAGAUACUCAAAGAAAUCAUUCUGUUUGUUAUGUCUGUUGUGAGAAUAUGAAGGCAAGAAAAAAAAAUGUCGGAAAGCAAGAAAAUUGUAUUACUAAAUGGAAACAGAGAUCUGUUCUAGUCUCUUAGCAUCAACCUCAAAGCCCGAUGGCUACAAGGACAAAACGCAGCCUUGAUUUCUAAAAUAGUUAAUAAUACAGGAAGACCCUCCAUUUUUAGCUUUUAAAGGUGCAGUUUAACAGCAACCUACGCCUUCAAGAGAACGUUUCAGUUGAUUAAAAUCAAAACAAAAUGGAGGGUAACAGAGCAACAAUGAGCUCCAGAGAAACCGAUCAAGAAAUUUGCUCAGAAAAUAAACCCUUAAACCCAAAUUAAAAAUCCUUGAAAAUCAAGGGAGGCAAUGUAUAAAACUCUGAAUGCAAAUUCUUCUUCCCUUUAGAAUGAGUACAUGUGUGAAACAUUAAAGCAAAGAGAUUUUAACAACACAGUUUUUGUUUUAGUAUUCUCUGAGUUUCCCCUGAACUAACCUGAGGUAGAGCUCAUAACACCCAGCCCGUUUUUCCGUCCUCUCCUCCGUGAAGUCGGUGCAACGUAAAUUUAAUCAUCUUCAUCCGCCCACCAUGGCCAACUAGCACUCGCAGAUUUUUGCUACUUCCUGUCAAAGGGUGACACAAGCAAUGCAUCAUAUCACGAGCAGAAUAAGACGACGAAACAACAGAAGAAGAAACAGCAACAUUUCUUGUUUUGAUGAAACAUAGUGAAGAGAGAUCUGCUGUUUUCCCCAUGUGAAUAACAGGGACAACAGAGAACCUCAACUACUGUAAUAUUUUUUGUAUGAUAUAUCACUUUACAUCCCUUUCAGUUAUUUUCUUCAUCUCGUCUGAUUGGACAUUGUAUACGGCCAGAUCCAGAUGCAGUGUGGAAAGUCGGUUCUCCCUGGCUCUGCCUCUCUCAUGCUUCGCUCUAAGGUUAUCCUGCUAGACGACAAACUGACCACUUUUCCUCAAUAUGCAACUUUCUUCUUCUUCUACUCUCCAAUUAUUUUUAUUAUCUGUUAUUUCAGCUGUUAAAAUUAGAUUUUCUCUGUUUUUCUGUAAUCAUUCAAACUGCAUCUGGUCUGGACUUCCAUUUGAAUUUGGUACAUUCCUGGAAGAGUGCAUCGGCUGAGACAACACCAUCAACUAAACGUUUUGCUGGGCCCUGGCACGAUGACGGCUCAGAUUCUGGCGCUGUCGAUUCGCUCGUCUUUCCAAGACUAACUAAGAAGAGUCAGGCAUUCAUGAUGAAUCAUUUAGCACUUCUUGUAAUAAUUCAGUCCACUAGAACACAGAUGAAAUUAAGACCUUCUAAUGUCAUUCAUUCAUUAAAACAGGGAUACUAUUUGGAGCAGUUUAAAGAUUGGAACCCUGAGGUGAUAAGCCCUAGCUAAUAUGAUAAAACCCAAACUUCAGUUUCACAUAAACAUUUUAUCCCAGGACUUCCAGUUACUUGAUUAUCUCCACAUGCUGCAGAUUAAGCAAAGCAGCCACAGAGCAUCACUGAGCCACCACCAUGCUUCACUCCAGGUGUUGUGUUUGUUUCACACAUCUCAUAUUCUUCUUCAUACAUACUGCUGAUCCAUAGAUGUUUUGGCUUUGAUUCAUUACUUCACAAAACAAAGCCCCAACGCUGGACUGCUUAUAUUGUUGUGAUAUAAUUCUUGUGCAUCUGAGUCUGUUGUGCAUGUCUUGGAGUUUAGGCAUGCACAACAGCAGAUAUUGGAUGGCAAAUGAAAUGCUAAAUGAUUAAAAGAUAGUCAUUAAUAAAUAUUAAAAGACUGAAAGAUGAUGAACGAUCAAAUGUCCAUGUAAUAAUUUAAUAUUUUAACAUAUUUUGCAGAAAAGGGAAACGCUCUCAUUUUCACUUUCAAAACAUUUGUUUCUUCAUUUCUUUUUAUUUUUUCAAUCUGUCUUCUGGAAUUAGAAUUUGAUUAUUUUAAAUAUUACAUGCCUCAGAAACUGGGCUGUGUACGCUCAACUUUCCCUGAACCCUGAGAAAAACCCCAAAAGAAACAAAGUACCAUGAAACUGAUGUUGUGUUGUUGCAUCAUCUGGCUCACUAUCAUACCGGUGAGCGUCCUUUUUUUUUCUUCAGCUGCUUUCUAGAAAACUGAAGAAG